Molecule: long non-coding RNA, 505 nt
Filed under: Marmota monax (woodchuck)
Lineage: Eukaryota; Metazoa; Chordata; Mammalia; Rodentia; Sciuridae
Source: RNAcentral
AUCUCGCACGACCCAGGCAGCAGGUGGGCACCGUGGCCCAGAUCUCCAUCUAUCUGGUCAAGUCCUCCAAGGGGGUAUAGGUCAACAAGGCUGAGUGCGCCACCAUGGGACUGCGCUGUGGCCACUUGUGAGACAGGUUUUGGCUGGUGAUUAAGGAAGAUGGAUACGUGGUCACUGCCUGGCAGGAGCCUUGUCUUGUGCUGGUCUCCAUCACUUAUGAGAGCAACUGCCUGAUCCUCUAGGCUCCCGACAUGGAACAGCUGGUUUUGCCUGUCAAGCAGCCUUCUUCAAACCCACUCCAUGACUGCAGGCUAUUUGGCCUUGACAUUAAAGGCAGAGAUUGUGGGUCUCAGGCCGCGUAGUGGUUCACCAACUACUUGAAAACAGAAGCAAACAGAUUGGUUUAAUUUGAAACAAUCAUGAAGGGAAGAGCAUCAAAGAAAAUUUUCCUUUUUGUACAGAAUUACCAGGUGGCUUAUCCAGACUGAAGCCCAAUCAUGGAAAU